Molecule: ribosomal RNA, 441 nt
Filed under: uncultured bacterium
Lineage: Bacteria
Description: partial 16S ribosomal RNA
Rfam family: Bacterial small subunit ribosomal RNA
Source: RNAcentral
CCUACGGAGAGCAGCAGUGGUGAAUAUUGCACAAUGGGGGGAACCCUGAUGCAGCGACGCCGCGUGAGUGAAGAAGUAUUUCGGUAUGUAAAGCUCUAUCAGCAGGAACGAGACAAGACGGUACCUGACUAAGAAUCCCCGGCUAACUACGUGGCAGCAGCCGCGGUAAUACGUAGGGGGCAAGCGUUAUUCGGAAGCACUGGGUGUAAAGGGAGCGUAGACGGCUGAGCAAGCCUGAAGUGAAAGGCGGGGGCCAAACCCCCGGACUGCUUUGGUAAAGGUACGGCUGGAGUGCAGGAGGGGUAAGUGGAAUUCCUAGUGUAGCGGUGAAAUGCGUAGAUAUUAGGAGGAACCCCAGUGGCGAAGGCGGCUUACUGGACUGUAACUGACGUUGAGGCUCGAAAGCGUGGGGAGCAAACAGGAUUAGAUACCCUGGUAGUC